UUGAGGACAGCUGGAGCUGCAGCACAUGAGCUCCAUCAACACUGUGCACCAUCGUCCUUCUUCAUGCCCACCUACUCCUCUGUAUGAACACCAGGCAACCUGCCUGUCACCCACGCCGCGUGCAGGGUGAGCACACGCAUAAAGAAAUGGGCUUGUUCCCUCGUCCCUGCCUUUCCAAGGAACCCUACACUUGUAAUUUCAGCUGGGGAACUGGAUAUUUCCCAAACCCUUGGACCAACAGAGCCCAGGAAGUGGGAAUGAGCAAGUCAUUUGGGUAAG
This is a long non-coding RNA of Cyanistes caeruleus (blue tit), 279 nucleotides long. RefSeq lists it as uncharacterized. NCBI's taxonomy places the organism in Eukaryota, Metazoa, Chordata, Aves, Passeriformes, Paridae. The record is from RefSeq and is a predicted model, not a curated record.